Long non-coding RNA from Saccostrea cuccullata (small rock oyster), 611 nucleotides. RefSeq lists it as uncharacterized. The transcript is spliced from 3 exons. The record is from RefSeq and is a predicted model, not a curated record. Lineage: Eukaryota; Metazoa; Mollusca; Bivalvia; Ostreida; Ostreidae.
ACCUUUAAGGAUGGCCAACUAAUAGAACGAUUCCCAUGGACCUUGAGCUUUGUGUUAAUGUACUUAGAAAACAUUAAAUAUUCGUUAAAAGCAGAUUGAAAUUCAAGAACAAGUCAAGUAAUGAAACACUCAAGAAACUGUUGUAUGUACACUCCUUGUACAGACGAAUGCAGUGAAAUGGAAUGACUUGCAUAUCUUUGAUCUCAAACAGAAGAAGAGAUAAUGAUUGUACAGAAAUGACGUUUUGCUACUGUAUAGUAUAUUUUAUAGCCAAACUGGAAAUGAGAUUUAGCUCAAUUGACGCGAAACAAUCUAAAUGAACACCGUUAUGAUCGGCAAAAGACCAGAUGGAACAUCUUGAUAACACUUCCCAUUUGUGAUCGUAAUCUUUAUGUGCAACAUUGUAGUUUUUGUAACACGUCCGGGCUGAGGUUAAAUUAAUUCGGUGAUUAUAAUUAUGUUUCUUAGCAAGACUUUGACAUUUGAAAAUAUUAAAGACUAUAAGUUGAAAAUGAUUUCCUGAGAAUGGCAUUUGAUCUACAUAAAAUGGAAAUCUUCAAAAGAAAGCAAUGCAUUUUUUAUUUAACAAAUGUUCAUUUUCAUCACAACUA